Molecule: long non-coding RNA, 621 nt
Organism: Lotus japonicus
Lineage: Eukaryota; Viridiplantae; Streptophyta; Magnoliopsida; Fabales; Fabaceae
Exons: 4
Source: RefSeq, a predicted model, not a curated record
CGAAAGCGCAACAUGAGGAAAAUAGGAUGAACAUGGCGGUGGGGUGGGAAAAGCUCCCCGAAGGGGCGAUUUGAUAACGACAAAGUGUCAGGAAUUGCCUCGGAAAAGCCGGAUUUGAUUCGAUGAUUACAAAUGAUUUCACAUAUUUUCAACGUGAAUUCUUGAGGGGAGUGGCGAGGAGUACAGCUCGGCGGUUCAUCACACGGAGGAGGAGAUGCUGCAUUGGGGGCUCCCUCCUGACAUGGUGGCUGACCAGAAAUGGCUAGAGGAGUAUUCUUCUAGAUUAUUUUGAGAACACUGCAAUCAUGACUCACCUCAAAGUAGUUCGGUUGGGGCUUCGUUUUGUUUGUUUAUUUCCCGAAACAAGAUGGUCAGAACGAAGAACAAGAGAAGGAAGGAAGAGAAUAUAGCUGAGGAUUGGUGCUUUGCUUGCAAGGAUGGAGGGCUCAUGAGGGUGUGCGAUUAUAGGACACGGUUGAGAAUUGAGAUGAAUGAGUAGUGAUCAAUUCCUAAAAUAUUACAUAGAUAUAAUUUGUCCUGUGAGUACUUUCUUUUUGAUACUUAAUUAACUGCACGUUGCUUAAAGGGAUUGUCUUAAAGCUUAUCAUCCUCAUUGCGUGG